Molecule: long non-coding RNA, 1016 nt
Organism: Megalobrama amblycephala (Wuchang bream)
Lineage: Eukaryota; Metazoa; Chordata; Actinopteri; Cypriniformes; Xenocyprididae
Exons: 3
Source: RefSeq, a predicted model, not a curated record
UCUGUUUAUGUAUUUAGGCCUGUAAGAGAUUUUAAGGACCUGAACGAAGCUUGUGGCGUAAUCGAAUGAAACUUCAGGAAAGCACAUCAAACAUCUCAGUGCCCAGCAUGCUAAAUCACUGAGGAACAGAAAACGGGACGAUGUGGGUUUGUGAAUGCGACCCUCUGUUGUGGUGGUGUGCUGCAGGCAGAUGUCUGUCGUGUUGCGCCGUCCUCCUGUGUGGCCCGUCGGUACACAGAUACUGUGGAGAAACAGACACGCACAGAUGGCGAGGAGCGCGAGGAGAGUCCAUCAGCCGCUGCAGCAGUUUCAAGUUACAGUUUUCAACAAAUUCUGCCGAAGAUGAUUGAUUGCUGGAGUCCAUGUAAGAGCUCAAUCAGCCCAGCAGUGAGCGCAGUCGAGUCUGGACUUGUUGAUUAACCGGAGGGCCGGAGCUGCGGGGCGGUGGACGCAUUAUGUUGGAGUCGUGUGGAUUAAAGCUGAGCUGAUCUGAUAUGAGGCCGAUCCUACAGAUGGAAGAGAGCACUUUAUUGGCUUUAUCAUCACAAACCACCGGCUACACCGCAAUCAGAUCAAUCCGAUGUUCUCAUCCCUCCUCUACAGAGAUCCUACAGACCCGAGGAAAGGUUUAUUGCUCAGAGGAUGUGCUUCAUACGGUGAAGAGCAGCUCAGGUCAUUUGACCUUGGGAGAAUUUGAUGAGAAAUGUUUGAGUUCAUAUUGAGAUCUCUGACUUUUGAUUGCAGACUUGAUAGACAUUGUUGAGAUCUCUUGUGAACCUCUAGACAAGAAAUAUGUAAUCUUGUUCUCUUUUGCAUGAAAUGCAACUUCCAGUUUUCCACCAUUGACACCAUUUUGAGGAGGCUUUUUGAUUGGCAUGUGGAGGCCAGAGCGUCUUGUUGUUUCCCAAUGGUAAUGGCGAUAUUAUUGCUGUUAUUUCUUUUACAUCGAGUUUUGUAUUUUAUAAAAACCAUGCUGCCUCCCUCACUGGAAUGAAUAAAAUAUCCAUUGUCAUUGU